Molecule: ribosomal RNA, 468 nt
Filed under: uncultured bacterium
Lineage: Bacteria
Description: partial 16S ribosomal RNA
Rfam family: Bacterial small subunit ribosomal RNA
Source: RNAcentral
GACGAACGCUGGCGGCGUGCUUAACACAUGCAAGUCGAACGGAAAGGCUCUGCUUUUGUGGGGUGCUCGAGUGGCGAACGGGUGAGUAACACGGGAGUAACCUGCCCUUGACUUUGGGAUAACUUCAGGAAACUGGGGCUAAUACCGGAUAGGAGCUCCUGCUGCAGGGUGGGGGUGGGAAAGUUUCGGCGGUUGGGGAGGGACUCGCGGCUUAUCAGCUUGUUGGUGGGGUAGUGGCUUACCAAGGCUUUGACGGGUAGCCGGCCUGAGAGGGUGACCGGCCACAUUGGGACUGAGAUACGGCCCAGACUCCUACGGGAGGCAGCAGUGGGGAAUAUUGCACAAUGGGCGGAAGCCUGAUGCAGCAACGCCGCGUGCGGGAUGACGGCCUUCGGGUUGUAAACCGCUUUCGCCUGUGACGAAGCGUGAGUGACGGUAAUGGGUAAAGAAGCACCGGCUAACUACGUG